GCUUAAGUCGGCCCACGACACCGUCGUCGUCGAGAAAUGCCACCUUGAGAAUGAGCUUAUGAAACUAAAGGAGAAACUUGCAGAGGCCGAAGUGUCCAUGAGGAAGCUCUCCCAAGCAGUGAAUGGAGCUUCUGGCUACAACGGUGGCGGCGGCGAGGGUGAGGGCAGCCCUACCUCGUCCUUCUCAACAGUUACUUACCAUCCUCUAGUUGGAGAAUUUGGGGUGGAUGGAGAAGCUGACCUCAUGUACAUACCAGAGUAUAAUUUUAGUAACUACAUGAUGGAGUGGGGUAAUCUCUUUGGAAUGUAAGAAACCAUUAUCAGUACUGUCAUAAUUUCGUGAUUAA
Molecule: non-coding RNA, 347 nt
Organism: Phoenix dactylifera (date palm)
Lineage: Eukaryota; Viridiplantae; Streptophyta; Magnoliopsida; Arecales; Arecaceae
Source: RefSeq, a predicted model, not a curated record